RNAcentral lists this ribosomal RNA (497 nucleotides) under uncultured bacterium. Its description in RNAcentral is "bacterial SSU rRNA". It matches the Rfam family "Bacterial small subunit ribosomal RNA", at positions 25 to 518 of the family's 1533-position model. The record is from RNAcentral.
CAGGAUGAACGCUAGCAUAGGCCUAACACAUGCAAGUCGAGGGGCAGCAGAUCGAAAGCUUGCUUUGAUGCUGGCGACCGGCGAAUGGGUGAGUCACGCGUGUCCAACCUGCCCUGUGCCCGGGGAUAGCCCUUGGAAAUGAGGAUUAACACCCGAUAGGUGGCGCUUCCGCAUGGCGGCGCCAUGAAACCGACACAGGAUGGGGACGCGUCGGAUUAGCUUGACGGCGGGGCGACGGCCCACCGUGGCGACGAUCCGCAGGGGUUCUGAGAGGAAGGUCCCCCCACACUGGCACUGAGACACGGGCCAGACUCCUACGGGAGGCAGCAGUGAGGAAUAUUGGUCAAUGGCCGAGAGGCUGAACCAGCCAAGUAAGCGUGCAGGACGACGGCCCUACGGGUUGUAAACUGCUUUUGCGGGAGGAUAAAGGACACUACGUGUAGUGUUUUGCAGGUAUCCCGUGAAUAAGGACCGGCUAAUUCCGUGCCAGCCGCGGC